RNAcentral lists this ribosomal RNA (478 nucleotides) under uncultured bacterium. RNAcentral describes it as "partial 16S ribosomal RNA". It matches the Rfam family "Bacterial small subunit ribosomal RNA", at positions 28 to 523 of the family's 1533-position model. The record is from RNAcentral.
GACGAACGCUGGCGGCGUGCUUAACACAUGCAAGUCGAACGGUAAGGCCCUUCGGGGUACACGAGUGGCGAACGGGUGAGUAACACGUGGGUGAUCUGCCCUGCACUUCGGGAUAAGCCUGGGAAAAUGGGUCUAAUACCGGAUAGGACUCCGGACUGAAUGGUCGGGGGUGGCAAGCUUUUGCGGUGUGGGAUGGGCCCGCGGCCUAUCAGCUUGUUGGUGGGGUGAUGGCCUACCAAGGCGACGACGGGUAGCCGGCCUGAGAGGGUGACCGGCCACACUGGGACUGAGAUACGGCCCAGACUCCUACGGGAGGCAGCAGUGGGGAAUAUUGCACAAUGGGCGCAAGCCUGAUGCAGCGACGCCGCGUGAGGGAUGACGGCCUUCGGGUUGUAAACCUCUUUCAGCAUCGACGAAGCAAAAGUGACGGUAGGUGCAGAAGAAGGACCGGCCAACUACGUGCCAGCCGCCGCUGUAA